AACCUCACCACUGCUCGGAUUGUGGGAAACAGUUCAUUGUAAAAUCAAGCCUUAAACAUCACCGGCUAGUGUUUCACACAGACCACCCUCAUCGCUGUGGUCAAUGUAAGAAGAGCUUCAUAACUGCAGAAAGACUGGAAUCACACAUUAAGACACAACACCCGCCAAGGGAUCCUCUGAAGAACCCACACGUGUGCUUUGAAUGUGGAAAGGGCUUCCAUCAGGCCGGCUGUCUUAAGAGACACCUGAGGACUCAUACGGGGGAGAAACCAUUUGUUUGCCCUCGUUGUGGGAGGGCUUGGAGUGAUUCUGGAAACUUAAAAAGACACAUGAGAAAAACUCACCCAGGAGAGGAGAUGGUUGUUAAGAGGGUUGACACUCAGAGGAGUGACCCUACAGAGAGUAGGGAGGAAAUGAAUGUGGAUUCAAUUAAAUCUGAGGAGCAGGGAACGUCUCGGUCACUCCAGCUGAAAGAGGACAUCAGAAGGAUACUGGUGGAUGCCAGAGGUGCACCAAUGAGUCCCAACCAAUCCGAUGAUUAUUCUGAAGACGGUGACGAGGGAGUGACUUGGUUGCCUAGCAACAGACUGGAGGCGAAAUCUGAUCUAGAGAGGCACACGCCAGAGCAGAGGGAGAGUGAUGUGACUACUUCCCAGUCAGAAAGUGUUUUUCUCAAACCACACUUGUGCACUAAAUGCGGUAAGGGAUUCAAAAAAGCCGGCUGUCUUAAGAGACACCUGAGGACUCAUACGGGGGAGAAACCAUUUGUUUGCUCUUGUUGUGGGAAGGCUUGGAGUGAUUCUGGAAACUUAAAAAGACACAUGAGAAAAACUCACCCAGGAGAGGAGAUGGUUGUUAAGAGGGUCGACACUCAGAGGAGUGACCCUACAGGAAGUAGGGAGGAAAUUAAUGUGGAUUCAAUUAAAUCUGAGGAGCAGGGAACGUCUCGGUCACUCCAGCUGAAAGAGGAGGAUGCUUGCGGUGUGCCCGUGAGUCCCAGCCAGGCUCAUGCUGAUGAUGUAGACUGCAAUGUUGAGGACAGGGAUUGGUUGCCUAGCAUCUGACUGAAGGUGGAGCCCAUGAGUUCCGGCCAAUCCGAUGAUGACACUGCAGACCGCAAAGAAGAAUGGAAUGAAGCGGAAGGCGCCCUUCGUUGUGGGAAGGCUUGGAGUUAUUAAAGAGACCCAUGAAAAGAGCUCAACCACCACCCAAUCAGCAUGUCCCUUAUCCCUACCCACCACCCAAUCAGCAUGUCCCUUAUCCCUACCCACCACCCAAUCAGCAUGUCCCUUAUCCCUACCCACCACCCAAUCAGCAUGUCCCUUAUCCCUACCCACCACCCAAUCAGCAUGUCCCUUAUCCCUACCCACCACCCAAUCAGCAUGUCCCUUAUCCCUACCCACAUCAGACACCAUGGUAACCUGGUUUACACCUGUCCAAUCCCUUAUAGAUGUGUUGACUACUGUGCGAUGUGUUUUAAAGGGGGGUUAUUUGAUGUUGUAGUUGUUUUUGAUGGAGACAGGUUAGAAGUAGAGACGGAGACAGAUGAGGAGGGAAGACAGCGAAAAGUAGAUGCAGGGAUUGAACCCUGGUCUCCAGUGGGGAGGCUGAGGCAUACAUAGAGCAUCCAGCUGUGCUACCACAAGACUACAGGCUAUGUACAGAAGGAAGCAUUUCUAAAAGUAUUGGAACACUGCCCUAGACUCAGCCUGUCCCAAAUAACACCUUAUGCUCUACAUAGUGCACUACUUUUGACCCCUGCCCAUCGGGGUGCCAUUUUGAAUUCAGGAUGUCCCAAAUCCCAACUUACCACAUGCCCUUGCUUGGCCCUCACUAGUGCUGUGGCAGUCAGCAGGUGAUUGGCAAGCAAAUAACUGCCAAGUAAAUAACUGCCAAGCAAAUAACUGCCAAGCAAAUAACUGCCAAGUAAAUAACUGCCAAGCAAAUAACUGCCAAGCAAAUAACUGCCAAGCAAAUAACUGCCGGUCUCAUGGCAAUUGAAUGUUUAAUUGUCAUAAACAUGUUUAGCCUACAAGCCACUGAUGCAGACCUUUGGGCUCCCGAGUGGCGCAGCGGUCUAAGGCACAGCAUCUCAGUGCUAUAGGCGUCACUACAGACCGUGGUUCGAUUCCAGGCUGUAUCACAACUGGCCUUGAUUGGAAGUCCCAUAGGGCGGCACACAAUUGGCCCAGCGUAGUCCGGGUUUGGCCGGGAUAGGCCUCAUUGUAAAUAAGAAUUUGUUCUUAACUGACUUGCCUAGUUAAAUAAAAAAAAUAAUAUAUAUAUUUUAAAGUAUAAACAUUUAUAUCACAAUUGAACAUAGCUUAAUAAAAGGAUAUUUUCCCCAAACGAUUUCAAUGGAAGUGCACACAUGCGGCUAUUCUGUGUUGAGAGGUUAACAAAGAAACCGGUUCUCUCAUAUGCUUCAUUCAGAGUUAUUUAUU
Oncorhynchus tshawytscha (Chinook salmon) is the source of this 2444-nucleotide long non-coding RNA. Lineage: Eukaryota; Metazoa; Chordata; Actinopteri; Salmoniformes; Salmonidae. The record is from Ensembl.